This 152-nucleotide ribosomal RNA is filed under the name Klebsiella pneumoniae. RNAcentral describes it as "partial 16S ribosomal RNA". It matches the Rfam family "Bacterial small subunit ribosomal RNA", at positions 381 to 525 of the family's 1533-position model. Lineage: Bacteria; Pseudomonadati; Pseudomonadota; Gammaproteobacteria; Enterobacterales; Enterobacteriaceae. The record is from RNAcentral.
GCCUGAUGCAGCCAUGCCGCGUGUGUGAAGAAGGCCUUCGGGUUGUAAAGCACUUUCAGCGGGGAGGAAGGCGGUGAGGUUAAUAACCUCGUCGAUUGACGUUACCCGCAGAAGAAGCACCGGCUAACUCCGUGCCAGCAGCCGCGGUAAUA